Long non-coding RNA from Helianthus annuus (common sunflower), 1691 nucleotides. RefSeq lists it as uncharacterized. The record is from RefSeq and is a predicted model, not a curated record. Lineage: Eukaryota; Viridiplantae; Streptophyta; Magnoliopsida; Asterales; Asteraceae. The transcript has 5 exons.
CUUUUCCACCACUGCUAUCCACGUUUCAGUUAAAACCACAAACCCUAUCUCAAAUGGGCGUCUUCGCCACACCUUCCUUCCAAUACCUAAAGUUGUAGGUGUUGUUUAAGUGAGAGACAGAGAGUCAGAGAGCGCCAAAUGAGAAAGGGUAGAGAAGAAAGGAAACCGAGAGGUUCCAGUCUCCGGUGACGACGGAUCCACGGUGGCUUGAGGCGGGGCUACGACAGUGGUGGGAAUGAACAAUAUGGUGGCUAGAUUAUGUUUCAUUCACCUUCCUCGGCCCUCUAGAUUGAAGUUGUUUCAGAUUGUCGUGAAGCAAAAUUCCGUUAGAUACUAGUUAACGGGUCUACUCGAGUAGUCAACAAAUCAUGGACAUCUGCGAUCAAAGUAUCAAUUAUAUAUGUGCCGAGAAUUGGUCGGUGAUAAUUUUUCAACAUGAACGCAUUCAUGGCUACCCAUGACGCCUCAAGUCAAUUGACGAAGUUCGAGGACUCAGUGGAUGUGACAAUUAUCGUCGAUUACGAGUUCUCUGCACCAAAAUUCUUCGAUUUUAUCGAAGGAAAGACUGCAUUCGGUGACCCCUUCGAUGUUCCAGCGAAGCGUACAUUAGCUUCUUGCAUGCUCUUCCUUUGUCAAGAUAGUCCUCCACAGGUAACUUGGAAAUGGUGGGUCUGAGCUCAUUAUUACCAGAUCAACUAAUGGUGGAAUAUCUACAAAGCAAUUGGUUCCCCGGAAUAUAUGCGUUUCUAUCAUCAAAGGACAUGUCUGUUGCCACCACUGUUGUGCUAGCUGCCUUGGUAUACCUCAAAAUCCCACCACUUUUGUAUAAAGUUAAAUGGUGGCAAGACAGGUAGUCCGGGUAACGGGUCAAAAUGAGUUUGAGUUCAAAAUUGAAGUAUGUCAUUCAUUUAGCGGGUUGGGGUGAAAUGUUGGUUAGGUUAAUCCUCUUUAAUCCCUUUUUUGUCCAAUUUGAUAUCUUUUAUAUGCAUAAUUAACACCUUAAACGAUAUUACUACAAUUAAAAUUUGAAUCUUAGGAAAACUUACCAUGGGUUUGACUUGAAUUGUUGUGUUGUUUCUGUUUAGGGACUGUGGGAAACAAGUGGCUUUUUUUAUGUCAUUCAUGAUGUCAUUUUUUUGUAUUAUUAUUCAGGCAUACAGUUUUAUGUAUAUAUUUAAUAUGUAUAGUUUGAUUGACUGAAAACUAAUUACAAGUGGAUUUGAUAAUGCCCUUGCUGCAACCAGGUUAGAGUUUUUAUUUAAGAAAAUUUUGUGGAUUUUGACUUAUUGAAGGGUUGUGAUUAAGAGCGUAUGAUCGGGCUGCGAUCAAGUUCCGAGGUAUUGAUGUUGAUUCUAAAUUUCAUGUAAAAGAAUAUGAGGAAGAAAUGACUUAGGUGAGGCGAAGAAUCUUUCAAAAGAUGAAUUCAUCAAUAUACUGCGUAGGCAGAGCACUGGAUUCCCUAGAGGAAGCUCGAAAUAUCGAGGAGUGACUCUUCAUAAAUGUGGCAGAUGGGAGGCGCGUAUGGGUCAGCUUCUAGGGAAAAAGUAAGGAUCCGUUCACGAUCUUGAUGCUUGAUAGAUGAGAUACAUACUUGAUGUAACAGUAGUUUACUUCUAAUAUUUGUGGGUACGAAUUUUUAUGUUUACCUUGGAUUAUUCGAAAAUGAAGUGGAAGUUGCAAAGUUUUUUUUA